Chenopodium quinoa (quinoa) is the source of this 1019-nucleotide long non-coding RNA. RefSeq lists it as uncharacterized. Lineage: Eukaryota; Viridiplantae; Streptophyta; Magnoliopsida; Caryophyllales; Amaranthaceae. The record is from RefSeq and is a predicted model, not a curated record. The transcript is spliced from 6 exons.
ACUACUGAUGAUAUGUUAACUUUUCCAACUUUCUCGAAAAUUCUAAAUCUCAAAAAUAGACAACCCUCGUCUCUUUUUUUUGGGGCUCUCCUCCAUUGAAGCUCGCAUCUUUCCUCAUUGAAGCCCGCAACUCUCUCUCGGUCUCUCCUCUAGUGAAAAUCUCACACUCUCUAUUCUUCUAUGAACCUUUCACUCGUUGCAUUCUCUCUCCUCCAUUGAAGUGUGAAUUCUCCAUGGUACCGUUCGUAGUCUAAAUCCUCCAUUGAAGUGACUUCUGGGCUUUUUCGUUCAUUAAAGCAGCUUUACGAGCUUUUUUUUUCAUUUGAAGCAACAUUUGAGGCACUGAUUUUUUUGAAAUAAAGUACUCAUUUCAUAAAGUACAGUAGGAAGGGGAAGCCUAAGUUUUGCCCAUUAAGACUUUCCACGAUCUUAACUUAAAGAAAACACCUCAAUUGGUUGAGCCAAUGAACAUCAGUGAGGUACACUCCCAUAUUCGUUCUUGAUUCCAAAGGAUACUUUGAUUUACUGAUCAAGGCCCGUCAACUUUUAUUGUAGACUUAUUUCCACAUUUUAUACUUUAGUUGUUAGCUAGCCACUAUGUUUGGUUAAAAACAGAUAUAUCCAGAAAGUAGGAUGAGCUAGCAUUUUGCAAAAAUCAAACCUGGUGAUGUUGUAGAAGUGAAAGGACCCAUUGAGAAGCUUAGUUUACUCCCAUUAUGAAGAAACACAUCGGCAUGGUACACGAUGAACCACAAUGAGUAGAACAGGAAAAUUGACAUGAUUGUUGUGACACUCUUGAUCGAGGAUUGUCAGACUCGUACUUCUUAGUUUUGAGUUACUUUUGUUUACGGUAGUUUUAAAUUACUUAAUGACCUUGUUUAGGUAGAUAUAUUAGGAGAAUAUAUGAUGCAUUGUAAAGAAAUGUAUUUUGGCUUAGGAGUUAUUUCAAUGUAGCAUUAAUUGCAUAAUUAUACAAUAUAAUUAAAUUAAAUACUAUACUUUUUUAAUCAAAAUUAAAU